UUGCGGCCAUUAUCACGUUGAAACACCAGUUCUCGUACGAUCACCGAAGUUAAGCAACGCCGAGCUUGCCUAGUACCUAGACGGAUGACCGCUUGGAAGUACCGGGUGCCGUAAG
Acanthosepion pharaonis is the source of this 115-nucleotide non-coding RNA. The record is from the annotation of a GenBank genome assembly. Lineage: Eukaryota; Metazoa; Mollusca; Cephalopoda; Sepiida; Sepiidae.